GUAUACUAAUUUAUCCAAACUAAAUAGUAAAUUACAUUUUUUUUUGUUAAAAGCUAAUAAUUCAUAAAGGCUCAUGGCUUAAAUACAUAAAAGUAUUAACAAUAAAAAUAAAAGCCAUCCAACCCAUUAACACAAGAAGUCAAAGCCCACAUACAAAGAUCCCUAGGAAUUUGGUGGCUCUAACCCGCAAAUGUUGACCCAACGUAGAAAGAAUUCCCACACCAUACCACCAACAUCAUCGAGCCAUCCAUAACCAAAGGAGAAAAUGACCAUCAUUGACGCUCGAGGGAGGAAGCCUCAAUAGCAGAAUUAAAAGGAGCAACCACAGAGAGCAAAUACCACUCUAGAAGAACUUCACACUCAUAACAAAACAUUCCCUAUGCCAUCUGCGAAUAUGAAAAAAAGGUCAAACUGAUGGAGAGAGGUAGGCGACAAGGUGGAGCCCUUAUAACUCUUCGGCUAUUAAAAGACUAGAUGCCAUGAGAAUGGCAUCAAUACCGUCUCCAAUAGGUACCACGCCAAUGAAACCAAGAAUUUGUUUAUCAUCGAUCCGAAGCAGCCAAAAUAAAUGAAACCAUGAACACCAUUGAAUCAAGGCUCAACACCAGUAAAGCUGUAGUAGACCAAAGAAAAAUGAGACUUACAGAUCUUCAUGUAAGCGCCCUUUUUCAAAGAAACCCAUACCUAAGAUUUAAGAAUGUAAAAGUCAUUGACAAAAACAUUACUUACAGCCCUAUCUUAAAAACGGAAGGGUGGAAACUCACAUGUUUGGCUAGGAUUAGCCAAG
RNAcentral lists this unclassified non-coding RNA (787 nucleotides) under Hevea brasiliensis (rubber tree). The record is from RNAcentral. Lineage: Eukaryota; Viridiplantae; Streptophyta; Magnoliopsida; Malpighiales; Euphorbiaceae.